Molecule: ribosomal RNA, 492 nt
Filed under: uncultured bacterium
Lineage: Bacteria
Description: partial 16S ribosomal RNA
Rfam family: Bacterial small subunit ribosomal RNA
Source: RNAcentral
AGUGAACGCUGGCGGUAUGCCUAACACAUGCAAGUCGAACGGCCGCACAGUAAGCUCUUGCUCUUACGGGUGGCGAGUGGCGGACGGGUGAGGAAUACAUCGGCAUCUACUUUUUCUUGGGGGAUAACGUAGGGAAACUUACGCUAAUACCGCAUACGACCUACGGGUGAAAGCAGUGGAUCUUCGGACCUUGCGCGAUUCAAUGAGCCGAUGUCGGAUUAGCUAGUUGGCGGGGUAAAGGCCCACCAAGGCGACGAUCCGUAGCUGGUCUGAGAGGAUGAUCAGCCACACUGGAACUGAGACACGGUCCAGACUCCUACGGGAGGCAGCAGUGGGGAAUAUUGGACAAUGGGCGCAAGCCUGAUCCAGCCAUACCGCGUGGGUGAAGAAGGCCUUCGGGUUGUAAAGCCCUUUUGUUGGGAAAGAAAAGCAGCAGGUUAAUACCCCGAUGUUCUGACGGUACCCAAAGAAUAAGCACCGGCUAACUUCGUG